AAGUGGCAAACGGGUGAGUAACACGUUGGUGACCUGCCCCAAAGCGGGGGAUAACCCUGGGAAACCAGGGCUAAAACCGCAGAGGUUGGAAUAUAGAGAAUUCCAACUAAAACUAAGGUGUUUUGGGAGGGGCCUGCGGGCUAUCAGCUAGUUGGUGGGGUAAAAGCCUACCAAGGCGAAGACGGCUAGGGGGCGUGAGAGCGCGACCCCCCACAAGGGAACUGAGACACGGUCCCUACUCCUACGGGAGGCAGCAGUGAGGAAUAUUGCCCAAUGGGGGAAACCCUGAGGCAGCAACGCCGCGUGAACGAUGAAGGCCUUCGGGUUGUAAAGUUCUUUUCUGCGGGAAGAUGAUGACGGUACCGCAGGAAUAAGUCCCGGCUAACUACGUGCCAGCAGCCGCGGUAAAACGUAGGGGACAAGCGUUAUCCGGAUUUACUGGGCGUAAAGCGCCCGUAGGCGGCCUGUCAAGUUGGACGUGAAAGCUCCUGGCUUAACUGGGAGAGGCCGUUCAAAACUGACAAGCUAGAGUCUGGAAGAGGAGAGCGGAAUUCCCGGUGUAGUGGUGGAAUGCGUAGAGAUCGGGAGGAACACCAGUGGCGAAAGCGGCUCUCUGGUCCAAAAC
RNAcentral lists this ribosomal RNA (625 nucleotides) under uncultured bacterium. Its description in RNAcentral is "bacterial SSU rRNA". It matches the Rfam family "Bacterial small subunit ribosomal RNA", at positions 93 to 740 of the family's 1533-position model. The record is from RNAcentral.